RNAcentral lists this ribosomal RNA (438 nucleotides) under Triticum aestivum (bread wheat). Its description in RNAcentral is "partial small subunit ribosomal RNA". The record is from RNAcentral. Lineage: Eukaryota; Viridiplantae; Streptophyta; Magnoliopsida; Poales; Poaceae.
AUGUUCCGACACUCAGAGGUGACAAUCACACGAAGUGGAGGAAAGCAAGAUGAACUGGCAUUUGUUUGUGCUGAUCUGGACUGGGUUCUGGAUGAACCACAGCCGGUCAGACCUAUAGAGCGAGUAAGAGAGACCACUGAUGACGAUGCUGUGUGGACUAAAAAGAGGGGGGAUUAUGCCCCUUUGGAGAUGUCCUACAUCAUAGAAAACCAAAAGUGGGUUAAUGCAAACAAAAAGUGCAUGGCCUUUAUAAAGAAUACAAUUGAGAGCACCAUUGUGGGCUCCAUUGCAGAGUGCACUUCCGCAGGGGAGUUGCUUACAAAUAUAAAGAGUCAGUUCACUGGCUCUUCAAAGAUAUAUGCCACCCAGGUGUUAAAACAACUGGUGACAGAACACUACACAGGUGGUGGAAUAAGAGAGCACACAUCCUCAGGAUGA